This 251-nucleotide long non-coding RNA is filed under the name Lupinus angustifolius (narrow-leaved blue lupine). Its description in RNAcentral is "long non-coding RNA (LANG_LNC001815)". Lineage: Eukaryota; Viridiplantae; Streptophyta; Magnoliopsida; Fabales; Fabaceae. The record is from RNAcentral.
UGACAACAUAUUUCAGGAAGAUGAUCCAUUGUCUGAGUGGAUAGAAGAAAGAGAAAAUCCAGCAUUAGAUGGAGCACAAAAUGCAGAGUGGCUUCCUAUAAUUGACACCGAUGAUGAAAAUGAAAAUAUGGAAGUUGAUAGUGAUGAUGUUGGUUCUGAUGAACAUAGUGGUGGUUUAAGCCCACCAAGUGAGGAUGGUGGCAAUGACGCUCGUAAUGUUGAGGGUGGAGAAAGUGAUGAGGAAGGUGAGC